GUCGGCCAUGGGCAAGCACCUCGUGCAUUGCGGCGCCACGGGCGCCGGCCAGGGCGCGAAGAUCUGCAACAACCUGGUGCUCGGCAUCACCAUGGCCGGCG
This 101-nucleotide transfer RNA is filed under the name Ralstonia solanacearum. Its description in RNAcentral is "tRNA-Arg". Lineage: Bacteria; Pseudomonadati; Pseudomonadota; Betaproteobacteria; Burkholderiales; Burkholderiaceae. The record is from RNAcentral.